AACGAACGCUGGCGGCAGGCUUAACACAUGCGAGUCGAACGCCCCGCAAGGGGAGUGGCAGACGGGUGAGUAACACGUGGGAACGUACCCUUUGGUUCGGAAUAACUUGGGGAAACUCAAGCUAAUACCGGAUAAGCCCUUAUGGGGAAAGGUUUACUGCCGAAGGAUCGGCCCGCGUCUGAUUAGCUAGUUGGUGAGGUAAUGGCUCACCAAGGCGACGAUCAGUAGCUGGUCUGAGAGGAUGAUCAGCCACACUGGGACUGAGACACGGCCCAGACUCCUACGGGAGGCAGCAGUGGGGAAUAUUGGACAAUGGGGGCAACCCUGAUCCAGCCAUGCCGCGUGAGUGAUGAAGGCCUUAGGGUUGUAAAGCUCUUUUACCCGGGACGAUAAUGACUGUACCGGGAGAAUAAGCCCCGGCUAACUUCGUGCCAGCAGCCGCAGUAA
This 447-nucleotide ribosomal RNA is filed under the name uncultured bacterium. Its description in RNAcentral is "partial 16S ribosomal RNA". It matches the Rfam family "Bacterial small subunit ribosomal RNA", at positions 29 to 523 of the family's 1533-position model. The record is from RNAcentral.